Molecule: unclassified non-coding RNA, 3157 nt
Filed under: Leishmania donovani
Lineage: Eukaryota; Euglenozoa; Kinetoplastea; Trypanosomatida; Trypanosomatidae
Description: gene:LdHU3.13.1230(CDS-product:hypothetical_prote in_conserved)
Source: RNAcentral
UAUGCGCUCGUGGGUACACGGUCACACAUACCGAAGUAUCCGCGCAAAACGCUAAAUUUUUCGUUUCUGGGAGAGGACUGUCCCUCCCUCUCCCUCUCUCUCGCUCUCGCUGCUCUGACGCUCCUCGGCCUUCUGCCAUCGAUCUGGGAAAAAAGGGUGUGCAUCGCAGUACACGUCUGAGUCGCCGAGUCGCCCCCCCCCCCCCCUUUUCCUUCCCAGACCACACCUGAGGAGUUGUGGCGAGACUCGCGACGACGGCCUUUCAAGUGUUGUCAUUAAAAAUGCCGAGGCCACCGGGCACGGUUGCUGCCGCGGCGGCGACGACGUCCAUGUCCUCCACGCGCGCUCGCAAGGAUCCGCUUCGCCGGAUCGGCAAUGGCAAUGCUGUCGCCGGUGGUCUCGACAUGACGCGCGUCGGCAUCCUUAGCGACCGCGAACUUGCCUUUUUCCAACGUCUUGCCUACACCGGGUCGCAGGCGGCGGAACAGCAGCAGCGCGACACCCGGAAGCAGGAGGAAGACCGUCGCCGCGAGCUGUCCAAGACUCGCGCGGCCGGCUGGACCGACACGAUCGAGGCACGCCAUGAUCAAUUCGUCCAGGCACAGCAAGACGCCAAGGAUGCCGCGGAGGCGCGUCAGAAGGUGCUCGACGAGCUCUACGCGAAGCAGCUCGAGGAGGAGCACAAAGCCGUCAUUGCGCGCCAAGAGCUGGAACACCUCAAGGAAGACCCGCGCGGACGCCAUCUGCGCUCGAUGAACAUGCUGCACGAAGCACUGAAGGCUCGCAAGGAGCAGGUGGCCUACAAGCAGAUGCUCAAGCGCGAGGACGAGGCGCAGAACGCGAACGCUCAGCGCGAGUUGCAGCUGCAGCUGUGGGGCGACCAGGCCGAGGAGCUGCACAAGAAACUCAAAGCACGCCAGCGCAACGUCGAAGAGAAAAACGCCAACUUAGAAACUGUGCUCUACCAGAUCGAUCAACGAAGACAGGAGCGUGCGGUGCAGCAGCAGGACCGUAAGCACGUCGAUCAAGAGGCCGCCGAGGAGCGUGCCGAGCAGCAGGAAGAAGAAGCGCAGCGUCGUGCUCGAGAGCUUGAGAACGGCGCCUACAAUAAGGCGCACAGCCGUCCCGCGCUGACCAAGUCGGAGAAGCUGCAGACUCGUGUAGCCGAAAAUGUCAAGGACGAGGCCGCGCUGCGGGCCGAGGAGGAGAAAGUCGACAGCAUCAAGCGCUGGGUCAUUGAACGCCAGCAGAAGAAGCUGGCGGCGUUCGAAGAGCGAAAGAAGGCAAGCCUGCAGCAGUACCUUGACCAGGCAAAGCAAGAGAACCUGCCGACGUAUCGCACGCAGGAUGUGUUUGAGAAGAGGGAGAGCUUCCUGCAGAAGCUCUACGACAGCGACGUGAAGCAGCAGGAGAAGCAGCACGAAUAUCGCCUCGAGAUGGAGCAGCAGCGGCUAGAGAUGGAGGAACAGAAGGCGGCGGAGGCGCGAGGUGAUGUUGUCGGCAGCGGCGACGGCGCCGACGGGAGCAGCUCACGACGACACGCCGCUGCCACGACUGCCGCGGGCUUUCUCAACAAGGCCGAAGAGAAAGCGUACGCAGAGGAGAUGCGUCGCUACCCGGAGCAGCUGAGGGCAAAGGAGGCCGAGGAGGCCGCCGCCCGUCGCGCCGAGGCGUUGCGAAUUGAGCGCAUUCAGAAACUGCAGGCCGCCGAGAAGCGCGAGAACGCGCGCCGCGCCGUCGAGGCUCGUCGUGAAGAGUUUCGGCAGCAGCAGGCCCAGCAGGAGGCGGACGACGCGCGGUAUCGGGCCUACAUCGACUCCGUGGUACCGGCAGACAUGGACCCGAUACUGUACCGCAAAGCCACUCAGCUGCAUUGAAAGCUGUGCUUUAAGCGAGCGUGUAUAUGUGUGCGUGUCUCGAUGCUCCUGACGGACUACGGCGCGGAGGUGAACUGCGUGUCUGGCCUUUAGCGUCUUCAGCGUCCCUCAGUCUUCUCCACCCACACAUGUGCGCGCGCUCUCGUUUUGCUUUCCCGUUUUUGUUGUUGUUCUUUGGAGGGGGUUAACGGAAGCUGCCGUCCAUCACUCCUCCACCCCGUCAGAUGCAGAGAUGGAAGAUGAUGGUUUAUGCAUGUAUGUGCAUCAGGUGCAUGCUUGCGUGUGUGUGUGUGUGUGUUGUGUGUCUCUCUUCCUUGGGGCCGUCCCACGUCUGUGACUCCGGCUGUGAUAGAAGUAGCGCUCUGCUUUCGUUUCGUUGUCGGUUGUAUUUCUGCUCCGCUGCCUUGAAGGCUCACAUGUCGCGUACGAACUCACGUCGGUGCAUGCGCUUCCCUCGUUGUAUGCGCGCUGUCGUGUCUCUGACACGUGCACGUAGCAGCGCCCGUUGAUGUAAACUAGAAGCACUUUUUUUUUCGUUUCUCCUUUCGCUCUCUUCGUCCUCUCUCUUCCUCAGUCCCUUGUUCUCUCCAUCCACCCAUCUAUUCAUUCACCCAUCCUCCUCAUACGCACACGGACGCCGCAUGCUCGCCAAGCCUCAGCACCCAGGCACUCGCCUCCUCCGCAUUCCCUCUGCUCAUGCAUGGACAGAUGCCAAGGGUUUCGGGGCAUUCGUUGUGCCCUUGCAUGACUGUUGUGGACUGCUUUGGCACGGUGUGGAGGAGGCUACGCACGUGUAGCGCUGUGCACGCGUGUGUGUGUGUGUUUGUGUGUGUGUGCUGCUGCUGCUGCUGCUUGGCAGAUGAUUAGUGAGGAAAGGGGAGGGCGAUGGAGUAGAGCGGUGUUUUAGUGGUGGUCAGGAGGAGGAGGGGGUGAUGGUGCACACGCAUGAGCAGACACACACACGCCGGCGGAGCAGGGUGCGGGGAUUGGAGGUCGGCCUUCUCUCUCUAUCGGUUUUUCUUCUUUCAUGCAGCCUAGACAAUCAUCAACCGACACGCGUGCAAGCAUUUCGUGGUAAAGAAAGCGCUGACAGCAGCGAAAAGGGGGUCGUCGGCGAUGCUGCGGGCGCUGGCCUCGUGUUCGUGUGCGUUGUGUUCCUGUGUGUCGGUCCUGCAUACCGGAGGUCACCACCAUGACCAGAUGCACAACCAACUCACUGCAUAGCAUGGCCUUUUCAGCCCCCCCCCCUCUUCCCUCCGUGUUGUAAAGCGCACUCGAGC